AUUGAACGCUGGCGGCAUGCCUUACACAUGCAAGUCGAACGGCAGCAUGAUCUAGCUUGCUAGAUUGAUGGCGAGUGGCGAACGGGUGAGUAAUACAUCGGAACGUGCCCUGUAGUGGGGGAUAACUAGUCGAAAGAUUAGCUAAUACCGCAUACGACCUGAGGGUGAAAGUGGGGGACCGCAAGGCCUCAUGCUAUAGGAGCGGCCGAUGUCUGAUUAGCUAGUUGGUGAGGUAAAGGCUCACCAAGGCGACGAUCAGUAGCUGGUCUGAGAGGACGAUCAGCCACACUGGGACUGAGACACGGCCCAGACUCCUACGGGAGGCAGCAGUGGGGAAUUUUGCACAAUGGGCGAAAGCCUGAUCCAGCAAUGCCGCGUGUGUGAAGAAGGCCUUCGGGUUGUAAAGCACUUUUGUCCGGAAAGAAAAGGCGCUGGUUAAUAUCUGGGGUCCUUGACGGUACCGGAAGAAUAAGGACCGGCUAACUACGUG
This 490-nucleotide ribosomal RNA is filed under the name uncultured bacterium. RNAcentral's name for it is "partial 16S ribosomal RNA". It matches the Rfam family "Bacterial small subunit ribosomal RNA", at positions 30 to 507 of the family's 1533-position model. The record is from RNAcentral.